AGACAUGCGCAGUAGCCUCCCCCGCGGUGGCGGCGGCGGCGGCGGUGGCUGCCGUGGCGGCUGAGAGUCCAGAGCCGGACGUUCCGGCCGCUUCGGGCUGGCGGCUGGAGAGCGCUCGGGUCAUGUCUGCCCAGGGGGACUGCGAGUUCCUGGUGCAGCGAGCCCGGGAGUUGGUGCCGCAAGACCUGUGGGCAGCCAAGGCGUGGCUGAUCACGGCCCGCAGCCUCUACCCGGCAGACUUUAACAUCCAGUAUGAGAUGUACACCAUCGAGCGGAAUGCAGAGCGGACCGCCACCGCCGGGAGGCUGCUGUACGACAUGUUUGUGAAUUUCCCAGACCAGCCGGUGGUGUGGAGAGAAAUCAGCAUUAUUACAUCAGCAUUAAGGAACGAUUCACAGGACAAACAAACCCAAUUUUUAAGAAGUUUAUUUGAAACUCUUCCUGGUCGGGUCCAGUGUGAAAUGUUACUAAAGGUCACGGAACAAUGCUUCAACACGUUAGAACGAUCAGAAAUGUUGCUUCUACUUUUGAGGCGCUUCCCUGAAACGGUGGUGCAGCAUGGGGUUGGCCUUGGGGAGGCACUAUUAGAGGCUGAAACUAUUGAAGAACAAGAAUCUCCAGUGAACUGCUUUAGAAAAUUAUUUGUUUGUGAUGUCCUUCCUCUAAUAAUUAACAACCAUGAUGUUCGAUUACCUGCCAAUUUAUUGUAUAAGUACUUGAACAAAGCAGCUGAAUUUUAUAUCAAUUAUGUCACUAGGUCUACUCAAAUAGAAAAUCAGCAUCAAGGCGCCCAGGAUACAUCUGAUUUAAUGUCACCUAGCAAACGUAGCUCUCAGAAGUACAUAAUAGAAGGGCUGACGGAAAAAUCAUCCCAGAUCGUGGACCCUUGGGAGAGGUUGUUUAAGAUUUUGAAUGUUGUUGGAAUGAGAUGUGAAUGGCAGAUGGAUAAAGGAAGACGAAGCUAUGGAGAUAUUUUGCAUAGAAUGAAGGAUCUCUGCAGAUACAUGAACAACUUUGAUAGUGAAGCACAUGCAAAAUAUAAAAACCAAGUGGUGUAUUCCACCAUGCUGGUCUUCUUUAAGAAUGCAUUCCAGUAUGUCAACAGCAUACAGCCAUCUCUCUUCCAAGGUCCUAAUGCCCCGAGCCAAGUUCCACUGGUUCUUCUUGAAGAUGUAUCGAAUGUGUAUGGUGAUGUAGAAAUUGAUCGUAAUAAACACAUCCAUAAAAAGAGGAAACUAGCUGAAGGAAGAGAAAAAACCAUGAGUUCAGACGAUGAAGACUGUUCGGCGAAAGGAAGAAAUCGUCACAUUGUAGUCAAUAAAGCCGAACUUGCUAACUCCACUGAAGUGUUAGAAAGCUUUAAAUUGGCCAGGGAGAGCUGGGAGUUGCUCUAUUCCCUAGAAUUCCUUGACAAAGAAUUUACAAGGAUUUGCUUGGCCUGGAAGACGGAUACUUGGCUUUGGUUAAGAAUCUUCCUCACUGAUAUGAUCAUCUAUCAGGGUCAAUAUAAAAAGGCGAUAGCCAGCCUGCAUCACUUAGCAGCUCUCCAGGGAUCCAUUUCUCAGCCACAGAUCACAGGGCAGGGGACCCUGGAGCAUCAGAGGGCGCUCAUCCAGCUGGCGACGUGCCACUUUGCGCUAGGGGAGUACAGAAUGACAUGUGAAAAAGUCCUUGAUUUGAUGUGCUACAUGGUACUCCCCAUUCAAGAUGGAGGCAAAUCCCAGGAGGAACCCUCGAAAGUAAAGCCCAAAUUUAGAAAAGGUUCGGAUCUGAAGCUCCUGCCUUGUACCAGCAAGGCUAUCAUGCCAUACUGCCUCCAUUUAAUGUUAGCCUGUUUUAAGCUUAGAGCUUUCACAGACAACAGAGACGACAUGGCAUUGGGGCAUGUGAUUGUGUUGCUUCAGCAAGAGUGGCCACGGGGCGAGAAUCUUUUCCUGAAAGCUGUCAAUAAAAUUUGCCAACAAGGAAAUUUCCAAUAUGAGAAUUUUUUCAAUUACGUUACAAGUAUCCUUUUUUCUUGUUUAAGCAUAACACAUUCUGAUUUUCUUUAGAAUGAAUACAUGAUAGAAAAAGAAUGAACCAUUCUGGAUAGAAAUAAUGAUUUUUACUAUUUUGCAGCGAAGAGAAGGAAUGGGGAUUAAAACUGGGGCUGUGGCAGUUGAUCUUCUGAAAGUCGUGAAAGACAUGAUUCAAGGAAUUGGGAAUCUUACAACCCUCUUCCAUUUUCCACUGCUAGGUGACUUCUAAGAAGAAUGCCUCCUGUAGCCUCUGGGGACAGUGGCUGUGCCCUGCAAUCACUUGUUAGGGCACCCUGCCAUAGCUGUCUUACCUACCAAUGAGUACCCACCAGAGAUGCUGCACAGCACAGUAGCUGCUUCUGACAUUAGGUAAUGCUGUAUUUCACACUGCUUAUUAGGGAAAGACCUUUGAAUUAAAGGUUAGUUAUCAAUUUGGGUGUUUUUACUUCAUUGUUUAUCUUAUUACAUUAUUUCUGAAUUGCAAGGAAUAUAAAUGAUAUUCUUGUUCAGGUGCUCAGAGCAAUAGUUUUUAUUUUUAUUUUGUUUUUUUUUAGAGUUGGGGUCUUGCUGUGUCACCCAGGCUGGAGUGUAGUGGUGUGAUCAUAGCUCACUGCAGUCUUAAACUCCUGGGCUCAAGAGACCCUCCUACCUCAGCCUUCUGAGUAGCUAGGACCACAGGUGUGCACUACCAUACCAGGCCAAAGUAAUAGUUUUUAACCAUGGUUUGGGACAGAUAUCUUUUGAGAAUCUAAUGAAAGUUACAUAAUUUUUCACUAGAAAAAUGCAUACAUGAAUGUCAUCGACAUAUUGCAUAAAAUUUGGGUGACUCACAGAAGCUUCCUCCUCUGAUGCAUCUAUAAACCCUUGCACCCCAGUUAUGAAGAAGUAAUCACUUGAUUUUUAUGAAUUUUAUGUUCUGUAACACCAAAGAAUCCUCCCUACUUUCACCUCCUCUUUCAUUUCUUAUUAAGAAAACAAAAAAAUUUUGCUCUUGUGACCAUGUAGUAUUAAUUAUUAUCGAUAUGGAAAACAUGUUGUCCUCAUGCUCUUUAGCCUGGCACAUCUCAUGCCAAGAGUUAUCUGUGCGAGGGAGUUUAGUGGGUAUAAGAAUCAGGUUUUGGCAUCAGACAGAUCUGGGUUCAAAUAUGGAGUCUGCAGUUAGUGGGGUAGCAAUGGGCAAGUUACUCAACUGCCAAGACCCCAUU
RNA transcript from Homo sapiens (human), 3223 nucleotides. It is a transcript of the gene named integrator complex subunit 10, with no coding region annotated. The transcript is spliced from 16 exons. The record is from RefSeq and is marked validated. NCBI's taxonomy places the organism in Eukaryota, Metazoa, Chordata, Mammalia, Primates, Hominidae.